CAGUCGCCGCGGUAAUACGAAGGGAGCUAGCGUUGUUCGGAAUUACUGGGCGUAAAGCGCGCGUAGGCGGUUACUCAAGUCAGAGGUGAAAGCCCGGGGCUCAACCCCGGAACUGCCUUUGAAACUAGGUGACUAGAAUCUUGGAGAGGUCAGUGGAGUUCCGAGUGUAGAGGUGAAAUUCGUAGAUAUUCGGAAGAACACCAGUGGCGAAGGCGACUGACUGGACAAGUAUUGACGCUGAGGUGCGAAAGCGUGGGGAGCAAACAGGAUUAGAUACCCGCGUAGUCCCUGUCUCUUAUAC
Molecule: ribosomal RNA, 301 nt
Filed under: uncultured bacterium
Lineage: Bacteria
Description: partial 16S ribosomal RNA
Rfam family: Bacterial small subunit ribosomal RNA
Source: RNAcentral